AGUUGGAAGAGUUUCCUUCUAUUAUUCCAUGCUCUGUAAUUCACCCUGGGACCAAAUCUUGCUUAGUUCACGAUGCUAAUGCAGCGGCUGCUACUUUCCGGAAAACAUUUCCUCUUUACUUCUCUUUGACUUUUGUGCCCUUUGUCGUUCUACGCUUACAGAAGUUUAUGGACGCUCCUACACGCACCUGUUGGUAUGCUCUUACAGGGGCUGUUCGCUCGACAACCUUCUUGUCCGCUUUUGUUGGAAUCUUUCAGGCUGUCAUAUGUUGCCACCGGAAGGUGGCAU
This 288-nucleotide unclassified non-coding RNA is filed under the name Hevea brasiliensis (rubber tree). The record is from RNAcentral. Lineage: Eukaryota; Viridiplantae; Streptophyta; Magnoliopsida; Malpighiales; Euphorbiaceae.